CCCAACCUACGGGAGGCAGCAGUGAGGAAUAUUGGUCAAUGGGCGGGAGCCUGAACCAGCCAAGCCGCGUGAAGGAAGAAGGCGCCAGGCGUCGUAAACUUCUUUUGUCGGGGAACAAAGGGCGCCACGCGUGGCGUUGUGAGUGUACCCGAAGAAAAAGCAUCGGCUAACUCCGUGCCAGCAGCCGCGGUAAUACGGAGGAUGCGAGCGUUAUCCGGAUUUAUUGGGUUUAAAGGGUACGUAGGCGGUCCGGGAAGGCAGCGGUAAAAGCCCGGGGCUCAACCCCGGCGAGCCGUUGAAACGAG
This 305-nucleotide ribosomal RNA is filed under the name uncultured bacterium. Its description in RNAcentral is "bacterial SSU rRNA". It matches the Rfam family "Bacterial small subunit ribosomal RNA", at positions 331 to 636 of the family's 1533-position model. The record is from RNAcentral.